AAUAGCGGCGACAGCAUGUUGAAUGCACCAGUUCCCCACGGAUCACUGAAGUUAAGUAACGUUGCGCGUGGUUAGUAUCUGGAUGGGUGACCAUCUGGGGAAUCGCGUGCUGCUGGGU
RNAcentral lists this ribosomal RNA (118 nucleotides) under Diaphorina citri (Asian citrus psyllid). The record is from RNAcentral. Lineage: Eukaryota; Metazoa; Arthropoda; Insecta; Hemiptera; Psyllidae.